RNAcentral lists this transfer RNA (62 nucleotides) under Paratapes undulatus (undulate venus clam). Its description in RNAcentral is "tRNA-Cys". Lineage: Eukaryota; Metazoa; Mollusca; Bivalvia; Venerida; Veneridae. The record is from RNAcentral.
GGCCUUUUAGUUUAUAGAAAAUGUUAAAUUGCAAGCUUAACGAAAGAGUGUUCUAAAGGUUU